GUACUCUGGAAACUGAAAGGAUUGUUAUGUAUAUCUAUAUAAUUAUGGAAUAAUUUAAUGUUUUAUUCCAAGAGUAUCAUUUAAAUUUGUUAAUAUGUUUUAACAUUAAUGUAGUUUUAAAUUUUUAAAUAACUAAUUUAUCAACUAAUUUAAAAAUAGUAUGCUCAUUUUUUUACUAUUUAAUAUUUCUGAAUAUUUUUUUGGAAAUCAUAUCUAGUGGCUCAUGGACCUAUUUAAUGGCAAUGAAAUGAAAUACUCCAGAGUUUGAAGAUAUAAAAGCAUAGAAUACCCAAUUUAACCAAUACAACCCCAAAACUAAAAUCUAGAACUCAACUACUCAAAUUAGAUGCAUUUGAACUUGCGAUAUCCUUGGUCCGAAAUUGGAUCCACAGAAGAGGCUUGAUAAUAAAGUUUUCUUGGCUGCAUGCUUAUGCUUGGUGCUUUGAAUGGAUGGUGAAUUUUAGACAAUUCAUCAUGUCGAGAACUAUCUUGAAGGUAAGUAACUCUAGUUAUAUGAACUAUAAGUUUCUUGAUAAUGUUUGCUUUUUUGCAAGUAAGAUUUAUCUCUUCUGUUGUACAGAUGUCUCAAUCAAUUUUUAUCUUUUAGGUAUUUGUAAUGACAGGAAACAUUAAAUGGGACUAAAUACAUCUGGGCAUUUAAUUUUGAUGAUUUAUACAUCAACAUGAUUUCAGAUUAAGUAUGAAGUACAUGUAUCAGUAACCUAGAGUAUAACAAUCUAGAAGAGGUUCUUUACUAUAAUUCAUAAUUGGUUUUCAAGUGGUUCAAAGUCCUUCAUGUUACUAUGAUGACAAAUAUGUUUGUAUGAAAGACAAGUUAGCUGCCAAGAUCUUCAAAUUGUAUACAUUUUAUUUUGAAACUGUUAUUGCAUUGUGUAAGAUAGAUGAAUGCUCGAGGUUUAGGGUGCAUUUAGAAACACAUUUAAAAUGUGCAUUGAGUGCCUAAUGCACAUUUCAAAUGUGAUUUGGUGUUUGUAAGUUUUUUUCAAAUUGCAUUUGGCCUGGAUGCUUCAUUACAAAUGUUCAAAUGCUGAUGCUAUCUCGGGGUAGCAUUAGCAUUUCGGCAUUUGCAGAAUGCUAAUGUAAUUUUUCAAAUUCCCAAAGUAUCCUAUGACAUUAUCUAAAAUCACAAAAUUACCUACUUGAUUUAGUGAGAAACUAACAUGAUUUGUCUUCGAUAAUGUGAAAUUUUAUUUAUUUAUUUUUAAGGAUAAUUUUAUAUUUAUUUAUAUGAUUAUAUUAUUUAUUUAUUAUGUAUCUAAGUCAUAUAAAAUUUCUUAUAAGAUUACAUACAUUCAUUUAUUUAUUUUCUUUAUUUACUUAUUAAUUUUUUGUCACAUAAUAUUCAAUGGACUUUUGAAAUACAACUUUACCAAACAACAUUGACGUCAAUACACAUUUAAAUUUAAAAUGAAGUUUUUAUCUAUUAUUUACUAAACACUUAGAGUAUUCCAUAAAUGCAUAUUCACUCGAGUCCCAUUCUCCAAAUGCACAUUAAAAAUGCAACUGUAUUCCCAAACGCAAGCUUAGUACUUUCUUGCCCAGACUUGUCUACCUUGCAGAGAGGUUCACACAAACUAUGAUUUGUCUAUUUGAAUAGAAAGAGUCAUAAAAGAUUCAGCUAAGAAUUUGAUUUAAUAAAUUGUUAUAAUAAUUCUAGAUCUUAACUCAAUGUGUAAAAUUGCUUAUGUCCUAGUUUGUACUCCUUCUAGGCUAAUGUGCUCGAGAGUCAUCAAGUUGUUUGCAAUAAAUACAAGGUGCUAUUAACUAAAGUAUGGGAUUGGCUUAGGUUUGGCAUGAAUUUAUAUCAUACUUGAACCAAUUUAAGAUGUAUUAGUACCCGGUCAAUAAUGACUACAUGGACCAUAUUUUGGUACAUUUUCUUACAUGGACCUGUUAGCAGCAAUUUAUGCCAAGAUUUGCAAUUGUUGUAAAGCGUUUUUUUUCUACUGGAUCAUGCAAUUAGUUUAUCAUAUACCUGAAGAUAAUAUAAUCUCCUUGUUGAAGUAAUGUAGUUAUUUUUUUGUCAGACACAAAGGUUUUCUAGUUCCAAUGAAAGAUUUUCUUGUUCUGGUAUUAUUAUUAUUCAUGGAAAGAAUUUUUUUGCUAUACAUAUGAAGGAAUUUGAAAUCUUGUGUACCUUCUACUGAGAUGUCACUUUCGCUGGUACUAGAAAACCUGUCCCUGUUAUAAAAUGGACAAAGGAGUGAGAAAAUUGUCACUUUACCUGUUAAUUGAAAUAACUACAUGGGUCUUCUACAUUUUGUAUCAGAGUUUAAAAGGUUUGGCCCACCUCAUAGAAAGAUUGCAAAAACUUAUUCCUCUAUUCAGAUUUCCUUAUUAGAUGAUGACAACCCAAUCUAGCAUGUUAAUCGCUAAGAGCCUACCAUUAUGGUGUUACUGAUAGUUAAUUAUUUAAUGUUAUCUUAACUAAGUAAUGUGAGGAAUCCACAUCUUAAAUGUACAUUAGCUAGAUUUAAUGUUGUACAGUUUUAAUCUGUUUUCCUAGACUUGACUUUACCUUCUGUUGUAAAUGGAUCUGGUUUUCUUGUUCAUGAGCACGGUGCCAUUGCUACUCUGAUCUGUGAAGGGUUUUAUUCAACCAACUCAGGUGUUUAUUCAUCUAACUCCUCUUCAUCAGUCCCGUAAUGUACAGGCUGAUGUUCAAAAAUGUUCUUUUGGGUUUUCAAGCAUUUAGCAGCCAAGUAAAUUGUUUCGAAUGCUGGCAUGAUGGUUUCGUAUAACUGGUUGCUUUGAAGUAUUAAAUCAAGCAACCGAUAAUCUCGUUGCCUUCCUUUGUAGGGAGGGAAUGCGAAAUUUGAAUUGGGUGUUUUGGGAACUUGCUCACAUCUGCAGACCAACUCCAAGUUGUGUCUGCAAAGUCUGUCUGGCUUGUAACAAGCAAAAUCAAGCUCCUGCAUGUGCCCGAGAUCAACUCACAGCACUUCGAUUUGUCUUUUCUCGAUCUUGGUCGGUGUUGCCAGAUGGAUUUGGAUUUUUAUAUUCAGAGCAGAACAUGUCAAAACCUCGGUGGCGUUUGAUGCAACCAUCUUGGAGUAAUUAAUAAUGGGGUUCUUGUCUUUUUGAAUCCACCGGCAUGGAUCAGAUCACCAGUUCAGAUUCUAAGGAUGCUCCACUUGGUUUCCUGUGACUCUCUUCGGGCUUUGGCAUGUAUAGUAACAUCAAGUCUCAGUUCAGUUAAUGUGUUGGGCAUCAUCACUAUACUAUUUGGUGACUCGACCACAGCAUCCUGACAGUGCCACAAGGGUGGGUCAGUACGCAGUUGAGUCCAUGGCUUCUCGGAUUGGCUUGUCCAGUCCAGUGAAUGCUGGCUGCUUCUACUGCUCCACCUGCCAGUCUUGGGAAGGUGAGCAGCAAUCAAUGCUGUGGAGCUCAAUUUAUGGGCAUGAGCUUCGCUUGAACUGAGCCAUAAGCCAUAUGGUAGGUCCGUCCUCAGUUACCAUUUCUGAGGUCAUAUUACGAAUGCUGGAUAAGCCUGUGACAGGUACAGUGAAGAAGGUGCUUCUGUGUGUGUGUCAGCAGCGGUCCAUUCAUCAGGCUAAUUAUGAGACGGCUUCAUCAACCUGCACCAGUCGAACGUCUCUUGGCAUCCAUAAGAAGGGUGGUUAAGUGACAUCGAAUCGGACGUCGUCAGGUUUGGAUAAUCUUGUGUGCUUGAAGGCUUACCAAGGAAAAUACUGUGUGGCUCUAGGUUUGCAGAGCUUGAGUUUGGUGACUGCCUUGUACGACUAAGGCUUCACAUGCUACGUGCAAAAGCUGUUCAAAAAGGAAAAGAAAAUGAGAAAAAUAAGUUAGACAUUCCCAAAAGAAAGGUGCAUAAAAACUUCCGUAUGAUGUGAUCUGACACAAGUCAUUGCCAACUUCAUGUUUGAGGAUGACAACCUCUUUAAUGCCCCCCAACCAACCUUCUUGCUUCCGGUGACCCAAGACCAGGCCGUGGCGUACCGUGGAGGGGGACAACCUUAGAAGCACACCAUGGAGAGUAGAUUUUGGUUUUUCAUUUGUUAGAUUAAGAGCAAAAUUUUAAGAUAAUUAUUAGGUCAGGCCGGAGUAUUGUUUUUUUUUGGCUGUUAAGAAGAAGCAUAUAAUAAAAAAUAUG
Musa acuminata AAA Group (dessert banana) is the source of this 4138-nucleotide long non-coding RNA. RefSeq lists it as uncharacterized. Lineage: Eukaryota; Viridiplantae; Streptophyta; Magnoliopsida; Zingiberales; Musaceae. The transcript is spliced from 4 exons. The record is from RefSeq and is a predicted model, not a curated record.